ACGUACGCUGCGGCACGCCUAACACAUGCAAGUCGAACGAAGUAGCAAUACUUAGUGGCAGACGGGUGAGUAACAUGUAGGUAUCUGCCCUUUGGCCUGGAAUAACACGAGGAAACUUGUGCUAAUACCGGAUAAGUCUUUACGGAGAAAGCUUUAUGCACCAUUGGAUGAGCCUGCACUUGAUUAGUUUGUUGGUGGGGUAAUGGCCUACCAAGACUGUGAUCAAUAGCUGAUUUGAGAGGAUGAUCAGCCACAUUGGGACUGAGACACGGCCCAAACUCCUACGGGAGGCAGCAGUGGGGAAUCUUGCACAAUGGAGGAAACUCUGAUGCAGCGAUGCCGCGUGAGUGAAGAAGGCCUUUGGGUUGUAAAGCUCUUUCGUCGGGGAAGAAAAUGACUGUACCCGAAUAAGAAGGUCCGGCUAACUUCGUGCCAGCAGCCGCGGUAAUACGAAGGGACCUAGCGUAGUUCGGAUUUACUGGGCUUAAAGAGUUCGUAGGUUGUUGAAAAAGUCGGUGGUGAAAUCCCAGAGCUUAACUCUGGAACUGCCAUCAAAACUUUUCAGCUAGAGUAUGAUAGAGGAAAGCAGAAUUUCUAGUGUAGAGGUGAAAUUCGUAGAUAUUAGAAAGAAUACCAAUUGCGAAGGCAGCUUUCUGGAUCAUUACUGA
This 668-nucleotide ribosomal RNA is filed under the name alpha proteobacterium IMCC14974. Its description in RNAcentral is "bacterial SSU rRNA". It matches the Rfam family "Bacterial small subunit ribosomal RNA", at positions 29 to 743 of the family's 1533-position model. Lineage: Bacteria; Pseudomonadati; Pseudomonadota; Alphaproteobacteria. The record is from RNAcentral.